CCUACGGGGGGCAGCAGUGAGGAAUAUUGGUCAAUGGACGCAAGUCUGAACCAGCCAUGCCGCGUGAAGGAAGACGGCCCUAUGAGUUGUAAACUGCUUUUGUACGAGGGUAAACGCAGACACGCGUACCUGUUUGAAAGUAUUGUACGAAUAAGGAUCGGCUAACUCCGUGCCAGCAGCCGCGGUAAUACGGAGGAUUCGAGUGUUAUCCGGAUUUAUUGGGUUUAAAGGGUGCGUAGGUGGUUUGAUAAGUUAGUGGUGAAAUUCUGAGGCUCAACUGUGGAAUUGCAUCUGAUACUGGUAGGCUUGAGAAUAGUUGCGGUAGGCGGAAUGCAUGGUGUAGCGGUGAAAUGCUUAGAGAUCACACAGAACACCGAUUGCGAAGGCAGCUUACCAAGCUACGUCUGACGUUGAGGCACGAAAGCGUGGGUAGCAAACAGGAUUAGAUACCCGAGUAGUC
This 460-nucleotide ribosomal RNA is filed under the name uncultured bacterium. RNAcentral's name for it is "partial 16S ribosomal RNA". It matches the Rfam family "Bacterial small subunit ribosomal RNA", at positions 338 to 795 of the family's 1533-position model. The record is from RNAcentral.